Molecule: long non-coding RNA, 2084 nt
Organism: Homalodisca vitripennis (glassy-winged sharpshooter)
Lineage: Eukaryota; Metazoa; Arthropoda; Insecta; Hemiptera; Cicadellidae
Exons: 2
Source: RefSeq, a predicted model, not a curated record
AUUAGAUUCACUAUGGUAGUUGUAAAUGUCAAUAAAAAUAUUCAAUCUCUGAUAUGUGGUGAUUUAAAACUAGGUGCUUGGGAGCAGCACAGAGCAGACAUCAGUUCUGUGCAGAAAAACACAUGCACACCAACUCUCAAGAGAAGCUACUCCACCAAAAACUAAACUUUGCAAACAGCAGAUGGAAAGGUUGGCAGCAUCGGAUCUGCUGGUGAAAGAUCUGUACAAGGAGAACGCACAUCUCACCGCCCAUGUACAGAAGCUGGAGGAGCAGAACCUGUUUGUAGACCAGUCAAUACUUGCCAGCACCGUAUAGCAUUGGCCGGGAACCUUCCUGUUGACUGUUAGCAAAUGUUAGGUCUAGUCACCAUUAGCCUCGGCUAUCCAUGUCUCUGUAAGUUUACAAUACACUGCAAUCUUUACGAAUUAGGACUAAUAGUAAUGGUACAGUAAGUCCAGUAAUAUUCCUAGACUGGACCAAAUACUACAGUACUCCAGUCCUUUACAUCGCAAUAAUAUAGUAUUGAUUCAUGUAACUUAAGACAUACAAUUGUUUAAUAAUGUAGUAGUUUGGUGAAAGUUACAGUUGUGUGUUUAUCUCUAACUAUCGAAGCAGUAAUGUUGUCUGGAAAGUUGUUUCAAUAAAACUUUCAAUCUAUUUAUUUUUUCAUGCAUAAAUAAGGAAAUCUGUUCUUAGAAGGUGGUUUACUUGAACACUGUAAACCAAUUGUAUUUUCAAUGUUUUUAUUAUAUUUGUUUUUCGUUAAAUGAUUGUACUCAAAUAAGUAAGCCUUUUUAAUGUUUAAGCACAUGCUAUAAUAAAGUUUACUAUAAUCGUCAGUCUGAUAUCAAAAUAUUACACUAUAAUUAUAUUCUGUUUUAUAUAUAUAUAUACAUAAUUUUACUCAUAUAUCAAUUAAUUACUCUAAUUACAAUUGGUAACAUCAAGAAUUGUUUGUGUAAUUUUGUAAUAAUUUGUGUAAUGUUAUUUUGUAAAGUAGUAUACUUUGUAAUAAUAUGGAAUAUCCUGAAAAUAUCAUGUUAUUGUUUAAAAAAUACACUUAAGUAUAAUAACACUGUUAUGGCCUCCAGCUAUAAAUAUUGUUGCAAAAGAGAUGGAUAGUUGUAAUAUUACUGUAAGCUUUAAUCCACUGGUGUAUAUAUAUAUUAUAAGAAAAAACUGUCCUUAGGAGAUUGUCAUUUUGAACAUGACAUGUUAACUAAUUCCAUUUUUACUAUUCUUAUAUAACACUGAUGACAGUCUUUUACACAACUUUCUAAAUGUGUGUAUUAUUCAAGUAUUUAAUAAGUUUAUUCUUAUUCUUCAAUAUAUUUUUAUUGUUACUUUUUCAAAUUACUUUUAACUUGGAUUUACAAGAUUAUAUUCUGACAUUGAUAAGGUAUAUGCCAUGUGUUAUUUACAUAUACUUUCAAUGAAAAUUGAAACAUAUUUUUCUGAUGCAUGUAACAGUUUAGUGAUUUAAGUUGUUUCAUGUUUUAUUAAAAGCAAGGUAUUGUUAGUUUUGUGAUAUAAAAGUCUUCUGUUUUCAAAUCAGAUUGAUUGAACAGAAAAGACGUACUGAGCAAAUUUUCAAUAAAAUGUGUUAUAUAUUCCUACAUAAUAAGUUAUAAUGUUUAUCUUAGAAUAUUUAAAAAUUGCGCCUUACACCCCACUAAAGAUGAAUACAUAUAACCACAUUUACAUUUUAAUGUGUGCAAACAGUAUAACAAAAUAAUAUUGUUUUUUUUUUUUUACUGGACAUUGUUUUUAUAUUCUUAUAAAUUAUUGUAUUUAUAGUGGAUUAAGCAACUUUAUUUCUUUUCCUGUUGCAUUUGUUAAGUAUGUUUUUAAUAAGUUGUUUUAUAGAAUUCAUAUAGAUUAAAUGUUACUAUCCAUGUAUAUCCUAAUAAUUUAAGACUACAAAAAAUAGAUAAAGUUAUAUUGUAUGAAUUAGGGUGUAUGAUAAAAAUCUAAUAUUUGUUUUAUUUAUUAUUUUAAAAUAUGAAUUUAGAAUUAAAUGAUGUUGCCAAAUGUUGUGAAAAAUAUAGACAUUAUAGUAGGGAAAUUGCUUUUGUCCAAGUUA